AUGUAAUAUUAGAUUUUGAUAGAUCUCCAUUUUUCCAAGGAUGCAACAUCUCUAAAUGACAUAGUCCUUUGAGACAGCACAAUUGGAAAUACUCAUCAUAGUCUAGAGAGCAUACCAUACACCAUAACAUUUUCUACUUCUAAUCUAGGUAAAUGAGCCAUUUUCCUUAUUUGUUAUGGGAAAUUCAGGUGCAUUUCUUUGGGUGAUGCACACAUCAACUUUUAAAUUAUUCCCUCAGUGUUUUGAUUCCUAGCUGGCUGGCCAUGGACUCCAGAGAAUUGGAAUUCUUAGUCAUAACCCAUGAUGCUAGUUAGCUCAUUGUUACAUCAAGGAAGGAACUGAUAUAUACCAGAAUUAGAAGACAAAGCUUUCUGUUGUAGAUGGGGAAAGAGGCACCUCUAUCCCCUCUAUAGUUCCUGACUAUACCAGAACUCUCACCAGCAACUGUUUACUGUGAGCCACAAAGCAUAUAGGAAAUCAAGAUACUUGCUACAUUUUGGUAUUCUCUACUGCUGGUUUAUUUGUGAGGCUCAAGAUCCCUGGUCUGCACAUAUCCCUCUAUAUGGUGAGAUGCUUUCGUAAACUACCUCAUCACUAUCUUAUCGAAUAAGAGAGACACGUGCCACGCUGCAUAUGCU
This 638-nucleotide long non-coding RNA is filed under the name Canis lupus familiaris (dog). RNAcentral describes it as "lncRNA (ENSCAFG00030009785.1)". Lineage: Eukaryota; Metazoa; Chordata; Mammalia; Carnivora; Canidae. The record is from RNAcentral.